CAUGCAGCUCGUACCAGUGAACACCGUAAUUGCUCUGUGGGAUCAGUGGCGAACGGGUGAGUAACACGUGAGCAACCUGCCCCUGACUCUGGGAUAAGCGCUGGAAACGGCGUCUAAUACUGGAUAUGUGACGUGACCGCAUGGUCUGCGUUUGGAAAGAUUUUUCGGUUGGGGAUGGGCUCGCGGCCUAUCAGCUUGUUGGUGAGGUAAUGGCUCACCAAGGCGUCGACGGGUAGCCGGCCUGAGAGGGUGACCGGCCACACUGGGACUGAGACACGGCCCAGACUCCUACGGGAGGCAGCAGUGGGGAAUAUUGCACAAUGGGCGAAAGCCUGAUGCAGCAACGCCGCGUGAGGGAUGACGGCCUUCGGGUUGUAAACCUCUUUUAGCAGGGAAGAAGCGAAAGUGACGGUACCUGCAGAAAAAGCGCCGGCUAACUACGUGCCAGCAGCCGCGGUAAUACGUAGGGCGCAAGCGUUAUCCGGAAUUAUUGGGCGUAAAGAGCUCGUAGGCGGUUUGUCGCGUCUGCUGUGAAAUCCCGAGGCUCAACCUCGGGCCUGCAGUGGGUACGGGCAGACUAGAGUGCGGUAGGGGAGAUUGGAAUUCCUGGUGUAGCGGUGGAAUGCGCAGAUAUCAGGAGGAACACCGAUGGCGAAGGCAGAUCUCUGGGCCGUAACUGACGCUGAGGAGCGAAAGGGUGGGGAGCAAACAGGCUUAGAUACCCUGGUAGUCCACCCCGUAAACGUUGGGAACUAGUUGUGGGGUCCAUUCCACGGAUUCCGUGACGCAGCUAACGCAUUAAGUUCCYCGCCUGGGGAGUACGGCCGCAAGGCUAAAACUCAAAGGAAUUGACGGGGACCCGCACAAGCGGCGGAGCAUGCGGAUUAAUUCGAUGCAACGCGAAGAACCUUACCAAGGCUUGACAUAUACGAGAACGGGCCAGAAAUGGUCAACUCUUUGGACACUCGUAAACAGGUGGUGCAUGGUUGUCGUCAGCUCGUGUUCGUGAGAUGUUGGGUUAAGUCCGCAACGAGCGCAACCUCGUUCUUUGUUGCCAGCACGUAAUGGUGGGAACUCAUGGCAUACUGC
Molecule: ribosomal RNA, 1089 nt
Filed under: Microbacterium paraoxydans
Lineage: Bacteria; Bacillati; Actinomycetota; Actinomycetes; Micrococcales; Microbacteriaceae
Description: bacterial SSU rRNA
Rfam family: Bacterial small subunit ribosomal RNA
Source: RNAcentral